RNAcentral lists this ribosomal RNA (374 nucleotides) under uncultured bacterium. RNAcentral's name for it is "bacterial SSU rRNA". It matches the Rfam family "Bacterial small subunit ribosomal RNA", at positions 523 to 898 of the family's 1533-position model. The record is from RNAcentral.
AUACGUAGGGUGCAAGCGUUGUCCGGAAUCACUGGGCGUAAAGAGUUCGUAGGCGGCCUAUCAAGUCAGGUGUGAAAGGCAUUGGCUCAACCAAUGUAAGCACUUGAAACUGUUGGGCUUGAGUGUUGGAGAGGAGAGUGGAAUUCCUAGUGUAGCGGUGAAAUGCGUAGAUAUUAGGAGGAACACCAGUGGCGAAGGCGACUCUCUGGACAAUUACUGACGCAGAGGAACGAAAGCGUGGGGAGCAAACAGGAUUAGAUACCCUGGUAGUCCACGCCGUAAACGAUGAGUGCUAGGUGUCGGGGGCGACAGUCUUCGGUGCCGCAGCUAACGCAUUAAGCACUCCGCCUGGGGAGUACGGUCGCAAGACUGAA